AGUGAACGCUGGCGGUAGGCCUAACACAUGCAAGUCGAACGGCAGCACAGUAAGAGCUUGCUCUUACGGGUGGCGAGUGGCGGACGGGUGAGGAAUACAUCGGAAUCUACUUUUUCGUGGGGGAUAACGUAGGGAAACUUACGCUAAUACCGCAUACGACCUACGGGUGAAAGCAGGGGAUCUUCGGACCUUGCGCGAUUGAAUGAGCCGAUGUCGGAUUAGCUAGUUGGCGGGGUAAAGGCCCACCAAGGCGACGAUCCGUAGCUGGUCUGAGAGGAUGACCGGCCACAAGGGAACUGGGAAACGGGACAGACUCCGACGGGACGCAGCCGUGGGGAAUAUUGGACAAUGGGGGGAAGCCUGAUCCAGCCAUACCGCGUGGGUGAAGAAGGCCUGCGGGUUGUAAAGCCCGUUUGUUGGGAAAGAAAAGCAGCAGAUUAAAAACCCGCUGGUCUGACGGUACCCAAAGAAUAAGCACCGGCUAACUUCGUG
Molecule: ribosomal RNA, 492 nt
Filed under: uncultured bacterium
Lineage: Bacteria
Description: partial 16S ribosomal RNA
Rfam family: Bacterial small subunit ribosomal RNA
Source: RNAcentral